CCUACGGGAGACAGCAGUGAGGAAUAUUGGUCAAUGGGCGCGAGCCUGAACCAGCCAAGUCGCGUGAGGGAAGACGGUCCUAUGGAUUGUAAACCUCUUUUGUCGGGGAGCAAAAGACGCCACGCGUGGCGUUCCGAGAGUACCCGAAGAAAAAGCAUCGGCUAACUCCGUGCCAGCAGCCGCGGUAAUACGGAGGAUGCGAGCGUUAUCCGGAUUUAUUGGGUUUAAAGGGUGCGCAGGCGGAAGAUCAAGUCAGCGGUAAAAUUGAGAGGCUCAACCUCUUCGAGCCGUUGAAACUGGUUGUCUUGAGUGAGCGAGAAGUAUGCGGAAGGCGUGGUGUAGCGGUGAAAUGCAUAUAUAUCACGCAGAACUCCGAUUGCGAAGGCAGCAUACCGGCGCUCAACUGACGCUCAUGCACGAAAGUGUGGGUAUCGAACAGGAUUAGAUACCCUGGUAGUC
RNAcentral lists this ribosomal RNA (459 nucleotides) under uncultured bacterium. Its description in RNAcentral is "partial 16S ribosomal RNA". It matches the Rfam family "Bacterial small subunit ribosomal RNA", at positions 338 to 795 of the family's 1533-position model. The record is from RNAcentral.